Molecule: ribosomal RNA, 406 nt
Filed under: uncultured bacterium
Lineage: Bacteria
Description: partial 16S ribosomal RNA
Rfam family: Bacterial small subunit ribosomal RNA
Source: RNAcentral
AUUGAACGCUGGCGGCAGGCCUAACACAUGCAAGUCGAGCGAGCGGCGGACGGGUGAGUAAUGUCUGGGAAACUGCCUGAGGGAGGGGGAUAACUACUGGAAACGGUAGGUAAUACUGCAUACCAUCAGAUGUGGCCAGAUGGGAUUAGCUAGUGGGUGGGGUAAUGGCUCACCUAGGAGACGAUCCCUAGCUGGUCUGAGAGGAUGACCAGCCACACUGGAACUGAGCCACGGUCCAGAUUCCCACGGGAGGCAGCAUUGGGCAAUAGUGCACAAUGGGCGCAAGCCUGAUUCAGCCAUGCCGCGUGUGUGAAGAAGGCCUUCGGGUUGUAAAGCACUUUCAGCGGGGAGGCGUUACCCGCAGAAGAAGCACCGGCUAACCCCGUACCAGCAGCCGCGGUAAUAC